Glycine soja is the source of this 966-nucleotide long non-coding RNA. RefSeq lists it as uncharacterized. The transcript has 3 exons. NCBI's taxonomy places the organism in Eukaryota, Viridiplantae, Streptophyta, Magnoliopsida, Fabales, Fabaceae. The record is from RefSeq and is a predicted model, not a curated record.
CUGACCUCCGCACAUCUCACCCUCGCUCUUCACCCUGCCGUGAGCUCUGCAAUCUGCCACAACCUCCUUCGUGACCUCCGAUACUUGCCGCAAGCUUGUCGUGGACAUUCCCUCUAUUGCACUACCUCUAGGCCUCGUCGACGGUGUCCCUGACAUCUUUGAUGCCGCUAGUGAUGGCAGACAAGGAGACGAAGCAGUAAGAGUUAAUAGAAGGGGUGGAGUUGACGAUGUCUUUGGCGAUAGUGGUCUUGUCGGUGUCGGGUGGGCCCCACGGUUGUGUUGGAUUGCGGAGCGAAGAAGGGAGUUGGGGGCAAGGAGAUGCUCUUGACCUACGAUGUCGUCAAGGGUUCUGGGAUGCAAACGCUCGUACAAGGGUUCGUGAAUGUGGGUGUUGGGGUGUUUCUUGUCUGCGAUCUUAAAGAAGAAAGAGGGCUAUUGUUGUGGUUGUGCUGGAGAAGGAGAAGGAGAAGGUUUGGGGAAUUUGGAGGGGAGGAAAGGUUGAGAGCAAUAUGUCCGGUUUGCGGGAAGAUCGCAUAUCAAAAUCCGAAGAUGGUUGGCUGCCUCAUUGAACAUGAUAACAAGGUCCUUCUUUGCAAGAGGAGUAUUCAACCAUCUCAAUUAGGACCCUUUCUGCUGGUUAUUUGGAAAUUGGAGAGUCUGCUGUGGAAGGUGCCAUUAGGGAAACAAGGGAGGAAGCAAAUGCAGACGUAUAAGUAAUUUCUCCAUUUGCCCAAUUGGAUAUUCCUUUAAUUGGCCAAGUGAGAAAGAAGCUUUGAUUUAUUUCUUCAUUAUUUUUGUUAUUAUUUUUCUUUUUUGUUGAUUUCCUUGAUUUGGUAGAGAAUUUUGAUCAUGAUUAUGGAAUGUUUGAGGUAGAGUUACAUGAUAUUCUUAGCAAAGCUAAAGAAGCACCAUUUUUCACCUGGUCCAGAAUCAUCGUUAUGCCAACUUUUUCCACUUGAUGAUAUA